Paramuricea clavata is the source of this 674-nucleotide non-coding RNA. NCBI's taxonomy places the organism in Eukaryota, Metazoa, Cnidaria, Anthozoa, Malacalcyonacea, Plexauridae. The record is from the annotation of a GenBank genome assembly.
AACGAUCCGUUCCCAAAUGUGGUCAGAUAAAUUAGAAUUUGAAAUAUAUGUCUAAAUAAAAUCACCAGAGUGCUAUAAUAUAGUAGAAGCUGCAUGCCAAAUGAGAAAGUGAAUCAAUGAAUGCAAUAUUGUCAGUUUAUUAAAACCAUGCAAUAUUGUUCAGGAAGUCGUUACAGAAUGGCACGUUUCCUUGCCGGGUUGCCAAAUGCAAAACCUGCGAUUUCAUAGAUUCUGCCACCACCAUUUCGGCACCUAAAUCUCAAUACCAUGUCAAGCACCAUUUCAUGUGCAGCUCCUCCCAUCGCAUCUAAUGCAGUAGAUGUGGCAUGCUUUAUAUUGGAGAAACCGGAAGACCUGUUGCCAGACAAGAUCUGUUGCCAGACAUUUUAAUACUGACAAUUACAGUGUUUCAGAUAUGGAAAUUUGAGCCCUCUGUCCCAUUUCUGGAUGCAACGAUAGCCGCAAAAGACAUGAAAUGUGCCAUUGUGCCUCAUUUCCAAGCUUGGCACUGUCCACCCCUAUGGCAUUAACCCUUUAAGUGGCAAAUAUGCACCCUGAUGCGCCUUAGCUACUGUAGUAUAAUAAUUUUACUCUGUCUAAUGCCAGACAAUGUUUAACUCUAUCUAUCCUUGGCUAUCAAAAUCAGAUCGAUUGACAGUACUUUUAAUUCUUAC